This 77-nucleotide transfer RNA is filed under the name bacterium. RNAcentral describes it as "tRNA-Ala". It matches the Rfam family "tRNA". From Rfam's summary of the family: Transfer RNA (tRNA) molecules are approximately 80 nucleotides in length. Their secondary structure includes four short double-helical elements and three loops (D, anti-codon, and T loops). The record is from RNAcentral. RNAcentral also lists the same sequence under 2 other names.
GGGCCUUUAGCUCAGCUGGCUAGAGCGUCUGCUUUGCAAGCAGGAGGUCGAGGGUUCGAGUCCCUUAAGGUCCACCA